RNAcentral lists this non-coding RNA (180 nucleotides) under Alkalibacillus filiformis. RNAcentral describes it as "6S / SsrS RNA". It matches the Rfam family "6S / SsrS RNA". Rfam says of the family: E. coli 6S RNA was the first non coding RNA to be sequenced, but its function was unknown until recently. It consists of 184 nucleotides that fold into an extended hairpin structure with a large single-stranded internal bulge. Lineage: Bacteria; Bacillati; Bacillota; Bacilli; Caryophanales; Bacillaceae. The record is from RNAcentral.
CCAAUUCUGCGUUGUUCGUAAUAUCAUUUUGUCUUAAACCUAUAAGAUCUAAAAGGGAAACUUAAAUUUUAAACUGGACAACACGCCUGUUAACCAGGACUUUGGAAGGUUUAAUGCGGUUACCCACCUGCCAAUGCGGGUUAAAAAGGCAAUCGGAUUACGACAUCGUGCGGAAUGGUU